Molecule: ribosomal RNA, 254 nt
Filed under: uncultured bacterium
Lineage: Bacteria
Description: partial 16S ribosomal RNA
Rfam family: Bacterial small subunit ribosomal RNA
Source: RNAcentral
UACGGAGGGAGCUAGCGUUGUUCGGAAUUACUGGGCGUAAAGCGCACGUAGGCGGCGAUUCAAGUCAGAGGUGAAAGCCCGGGGCUCAACCCCGGAACUGCCUUUGAAACUAGAUUGCUAGAAUCCUGGAGAGGUGAGUGGAAUUCCGAGUGUAGAGGUGAAAUUCGUAGAUAUUCGGAAGAACACCCGUGGCGAAGGCGGCUACUCUGGAACGCAACUGACGCUGAGACGCGAAAGCGUGGGGAGCAAACAGG